RNAcentral lists this transfer RNA (72 nucleotides) under Oscillatoria sp. SIO1A7. RNAcentral describes it as "tRNA-Glu". It matches the Rfam family "tRNA". Rfam says of the family: Transfer RNA (tRNA) molecules are approximately 80 nucleotides in length. Their secondary structure includes four short double-helical elements and three loops (D, anti-codon, and T loops). Lineage: Bacteria; Bacillati; Cyanobacteriota; Cyanophyceae; Oscillatoriales; Oscillatoriaceae. The record is from RNAcentral.
AGCCUCAUCGUCUAGGGGUUAGGACGCCGCCCCCUCAAGGCGGAAACGAGAGUUCAAAUCUCUCUGGGGCUA